Peromyscus maniculatus bairdii (prairie deer mouse) is the source of this 246-nucleotide non-coding RNA. The record is from RefSeq and is a predicted model, not a curated record. NCBI's taxonomy places the organism in Eukaryota, Metazoa, Chordata, Mammalia, Rodentia, Cricetidae.
GUUUCCAGCACUAUCCCAGCAGACCUUGCUCUCUAAAAGAAGUUUAACCAUGUGCAAGCUGACUAUCUCCGGUCACAGGUUACAGCCACACAUCAGGCUCCCUUACUCAUCUACAGUAAAUGUCCUUAUUGAGAAACAAGAGAAAUGUCAAUCUUGGACUGGAGGAGGUAACUUUCUUCUCUCAAUAAGAAGGAAAAGAAGUAGAGGUUGAUGGGGGAGCUGAAUAAAUGUGUGGACUAAACAGAA